RNAcentral lists this ribosomal RNA (458 nucleotides) under uncultured bacterium. RNAcentral's name for it is "partial 16S ribosomal RNA". It matches the Rfam family "Bacterial small subunit ribosomal RNA", at positions 338 to 795 of the family's 1533-position model. The record is from RNAcentral.
CCUACGGGGGGCAGCAGUGAGGAAUAUUGGUCAAUGGGCGAGAGCCUGAACCAGCCAAGUCGCGUGAGGGAGUACUGCCCUAUGGGUUGUAAACCUCUUUUGUCGGGGAGCAAAAGCCGGACGUGUCCGGCUGUGAGAGUACCCGAAGAAAAAGCAUCGGCUAACUCCGUGCCAGCAGCCGCGGUAAUACGGAGGAUGCGAGCGUUAUCCGGAUUUAUUGGGUUUAAAGGGUGCGCAGGCGGAUUUUUAAGUCAGCGGUAAAAUCGUGGGGCUCAACCCCAUCCAGCCGUUGAAACUGGGGAUCUAGAGUGUGUGAGAGGUAUGCGGAAUGCGUGGUGUAGCGGUGAAAUGCAUAGAUAUCACGCAGAACCCCGAUUGCGAAGGCAGCAUACCGGUGCACAACUGACGCUCAGGCACGAAAGCGUGGGUAUCGAACAGGAUUAGAUACCCUGGUAGUC